Molecule: transfer RNA, 87 nt
Filed under: Candidatus Woesebacteria bacterium
Lineage: Bacteria; Candidatus Woeseibacteriota
Description: tRNA-Gln
Rfam family: tRNA
About the family: Transfer RNA (tRNA) molecules are approximately 80 nucleotides in length.
Source: RNAcentral
AGCAGAGUCGCCUAACGGUGGGGCAGCGGGUUUUGAUCCCGCCGGAUAAUUAUGUCUAUGUAGGUUCGAGUCCUACCUCUGUUGCCA